UAGCUCAGUUGGUAGAGCAUGGUGUUUGCAACGCCAUGCUUGUGGGUUCAAUUCCCAC
This 58-nucleotide transfer RNA is filed under the name Salmo salar (Atlantic salmon). It matches the Rfam family "tRNA", at positions 8 to 63 of the family's 71-position model. Rfam says of the family: Transfer RNA (tRNA) molecules are approximately 80 nucleotides in length. Their secondary structure includes four short double-helical elements and three loops (D, anti-codon, and T loops). The record is from Rfam by way of RNAcentral. Lineage: Eukaryota; Metazoa; Chordata; Actinopteri; Salmoniformes; Salmonidae.